UGGUAGCGUAGCUAACGCGUGAAAUUGACCGCCUGGGGAGUACGGCCGCAAGGUUAAAACUCAAAGGAAUUGACGGGGACCCGCACAAGCGGUGGAUGAUGUGGAUUAAUUCGAUGCAACGCGAAAAACCUUACCUGGUCUUGACAUGUACGGAACUUGCCAGAGAUGGCUUGGUGCCCGAAAGGGAGCCGUAACACAGGUGCUGCAUGGCUGUCGUCAGCUCGUGUCGUGAGAUGUUGGGUUAAGUCCCGCAACGAGCGCAACCCUUGCCAUUAGUUGCCAUCAUUAAGUUGGGCACUCUAAUGGGACUGCCGGUGACAAACCGGAGGAAGGUGGGGAUGACGUCAAGUCCUCAUGGCCCUUAUGACCAGGGCUUCACACGUCAUACAAUGGUCGGUACAGAGGGUAGCCAAGCCGCGAGGUGGAGCCAAUCUCAUAAAACCGAUCGUAGUCCGGAUCGCACUCUGCAACUCGAGUGCGUGAAGUCGGAAUCGCUAGUA
This 500-nucleotide ribosomal RNA is filed under the name Aquitalea sp. RNAcentral's name for it is "bacterial SSU rRNA". It matches the Rfam family "Bacterial small subunit ribosomal RNA", at positions 841 to 1340 of the family's 1533-position model. The record is from RNAcentral. Lineage: Bacteria; Pseudomonadati; Pseudomonadota; Betaproteobacteria; Neisseriales; Chromobacteriaceae.